UUUUAAGAGGAUUUGAUCCUGGUCCAGGAUGAACGCUGGCGGCGUGGAUAAGGCAUGCAAGUCGAGCGGAACUAUCUUUGAAGGAAUUUGAGAUUACAUCAAGGAUUGCGGAUUUGAUAGUUUAGCGGCGAACGAGUUAGUAACACCCUGGUACGUACCUCGAAGUCGGGAAUAGUCCGCCGAAAGGCGGGGUAAUGCCCGAUAGUCCCGCAAGGGUAAAGCAGCAAUGCGCUUCGAGAUCGGCCUAGGCCCGAUCAGCUAGUUGGUGAGGUAAUGGCUCACCAAGGCUAUGACCGGUAGGGGGGGUGAGAGCCCGGUCCCCAACGACGAGACUGAGACACGGCUCGUACUCCUACGGGAGGCAGCAGUCGAGAAUAUUCGACAAUGGGCGAAAGCCUGAUCGAGCGACGCCGCGUGCAGGAUGAAGGCCUUCGGGUUGUAAACUGCGGUAGUAGGGGAGGAACUUCGGUGACUGUACCCUACGGAAAGUGGUUGGUAACUACGUGCCAGCACCAGCGGUAAUACGUAGACCACAAGCGUUAUCCGGAUUUAUUGGGCGUAAAGCGCAUGUAGGAGGUUCGGUGCGUCCCUGGUUAAAGCCCACCGCCUAACGGUGGAAGUGCCGGGGAUACGAUCGAACUGGAGGAUGUGAGAGGUGCAUGGAACUCACGGUGUAGGGGUGAAAUCCGUUGAUAUCGUGGGGAACACCAAAGGCGAAGGCAGUGCACUGGUACAUUCCUGACUCUGAGAUGCGAAAGCGUGGGGAGCAAAAAGGAUUAGAUAAAUCCUGUCCGCCGCAAAAUUUGCGGUGGCGAAGGGUGUCCCCUUCGACGGCGACGUCGAAGUGCGCAUCUAGCUAUAUCGGGGAACCCCUUCUAGUCGGAGGGCGAUCCCGAGGGAAGUCGGCGCGCGAGCGUAUCGACCCCGUAGAGACUAUGUAAGUAAGAAGAUAGAAAAUGAGCACAUCAUUUUUGUCGGAUCGCACCAAAGAACUCAUUCUAGGCUCAUUGCUGGGAGAUGGAUCGCUUAAGAUCCAUAAACCAUACAAGAAUGCGCGUUUUUCUUUUCGCCAUUCCAUCAAGCAAAAAGAAUAUUUUUUCUGGAAAGUAUCUGAACUGAAAGAUAUCUCCGGCGAAAGUUGUUGGUGGGAACAAGAGAAGAAUGGUCUAGGCGGAACCAUGUUGAGGUAUCAAAGCCUCGCAUGCGAACCGCUAACCGAACUUUAUAAGUUCACGCACGCGCAUGGCAAGUUAACGAUCGCGCGCAGGUGGUUGAACAAACUAACCCCUCGCUCACUUGCGGUAUGGUGGCUGGAUGACGGUUCGUUGAUAGUUAACAGCCGUCGUGGCGUGCUAUGUACCGAUCCAUUCUCCUAUGAAGAGCAUAAAUUACUUGCCCGCUAUCUAUUGGUAGUGUGGAAAGUCAAGGUCUCAAUCGGCUCUAUUACGAGAAACCGCGACGGCAUCGCUAAGACAUAUUAUCGUCUUUGGAUCCGCUCGAGCGAGGAAUUGCAAAAGUUCCUGCGCAUAAUCCUGCCGUAUGUUCCCGUGCCCGCAAUGUUGCCUAAAGUCAUGCUUCUUUAUCGCGAUUCCCAAUUACAGCAACGCUGGAUCUCUGAAGUGAGUUCGCUUACCGGUUUCGAUGAGAAAGUGGUAGCUGAUUAUGCCAUGCAGAAAAAACAGGCAUGGAAGCAAUUCAGAGAAUGAUAUAGUCCGAUCUCCGUAGUAAUACGGAUAAACACAAGGUGACCCUUGUAGUCCACGCCCUAAACGAUGCAGGUUUGCUGUUUCGAGUAUCGACCCUCGGAGCGGCGGAGCUAACGCGUUAAACCUGCCGCCUGGGAAGUACGAGCGCAAGCUUAAAACUCAAAGGAAUAGACGGGGACUCGCACAAGCGGUGGAACAUGAGGUUUAAUUCGACAAUGAACGAAGAACCUCACCAGGGUUUGAAAUGCUUAUUGUAAGCCUUUGGAAACAUUGGCCCUCCGCAAGGACAGUAAGCACAGGUGCUGCAUGGUUGUCGUCAGCUCGUGCCGUGAGGCGUUCCCUUAAUUGGGGUAACGAGCGCAACCCCUGUUUCGUGUUACAAGUGUCACGAAAAACUGCCCAGCCUAGAGGAAGGCGAGGAGCAGGGUCUAGCGUCUAGGGUAAGACACCCUAGCCCCUAACCCCUAGCCCCUGGUUUUCUCCAGGCUGGGAGGAAGGAGGGGAUGACGUCAAAUCCGCAUGGCCCUUUGAUACCCUGGGCUACACUCAUGUUACAAUGGUCGCGACAAAGGGUUGCCAAGCCGUAAGGCGGAGCUAAUCCCAAAACCGCGGUCUUAGUUCGGAUUGAGGGCUGCAACUCGCCCUCAUGAAGCUGGAAUCGCUAGUAAUCGUGGGUCAGCUAUACCACGGUGAAUACGUUCUCGAGUCCUGUACUCACCGCCCGUCAAGCCAAGGGAGCCGGUAAUAGGUGAAGUCUCUCGCAAGAGGGAUCAGUCUAGGAUCGGUGACAUGGGCUAAGUCGUAACAAGGCACGCGUAGCGGAAGCUGUGCGUGGAUCAAUUAAACU
Non-coding RNA from Candidatus Liptonbacteria bacterium, 2553 nucleotides. Lineage: Bacteria; Candidatus Liptoniibacteriota. The record is from Rfam.